Long non-coding RNA from Fundulus heteroclitus (mummichog), 1621 nucleotides. RefSeq lists it as uncharacterized. Lineage: Eukaryota; Metazoa; Chordata; Actinopteri; Cyprinodontiformes; Fundulidae. The record is from RefSeq and is a predicted model, not a curated record. The transcript is spliced from 3 exons.
UCUGGGAUUGAAGGCGGGACAAAGCAAAUCAAAAUGGCGGCACCCGUAACUUUCAGGAUGUUAUGCUGGAGUAUUCUUGUCAUAUUUCGGCGUUUGCGGAGAGUCAGGCGAAGAAGGCAACCACCGGUGAACCUAUUUGAGAGAGUCGGAUUUUGGGGAGUUGAUGAUGAGACGAACGAACGUCUACUCCGGGUUUACAGACGCCGGAAACAACAACAGACCCUGAGGUUUAUCACGCUGCUAACCAGAAUCAUCUCCGGAAAUCGUGUGGCACGAACUGUUUGGACGCGAGAGCGGAGCCAACACUGGUGGCUGUAUAUUGUAAGAGAGACGUUCAACCCUCAGCAAUGGAUCGAAAACUUCAGAAUGAGCUACAGAACCUUCCAAUGGCUUUGUGAGUCGCUCAGGCCUUACAUCUCCAAGACAGAAACCAGGAUGUGACGGCCUAUUCCUGUGGAACAGAAAGUUGGUGCUGUAUUGUGGUUUCUGGGAACUACAUCAGACUCUAUCGCACCAUUGCUCACCUUUUUGGAAUAUCCAGAGCCUCACUGUGCAUCUUUGUCAAGGAUGUUUGUGAGGCAAUAUGUUACCAUCUGACACUACAGUUUGUGAAGCUACCCACUGAUAUAGAGGCUACAAAUAUUAUAGUCAUUUAAAGAAAAAUGGGGAUACCCUAUUUGCAUAGGUGCUAUUGAUGGCUCACACAUACCCAUUGUCGCACCGAAUGAGAGUCGAGUAGAUUAUUUUAAUAGAAAGGGCUGGUAUAGUAUUAAUAUGCAAGCACUGGUAGAUGACAGGUAUAUGUUUAGAGAUAUCUGUGUUGGAUGGCCAGGAAGCACUCAUGAUGCCCGUGUUUUAGUUGACUCCCAGCUCUACCAGUUUUGGGAAAAUGGUGUGUUCCCCCAUCUUCAAACAGAAAUCGAUAGUGUGAUGGUACCUGCCGUUAUACUUGGCGAUCCAGCAUACACUCUCCUACCUUGGCUGAUGAAGCCUUAUCCAGAAAAUGCAGGGACAACAGAAGCCCAAAAAAAAAUACAACUUCAUCCAUAGCCGUAGCAGGAUGGUGGUCGAGAACACCUUUGGGCGGCUAAAAGGCAGAUGGAGAAGGCUUUUGAAGCGAAUCGACAACAACACAUGAAAUGUUCCGAAUGUCAUUGCUGCCUGCUGUACCUUACAUAAUAUCUGUGAGACCCAAGGAGAGGAUUUCCUUGAUCAGUGGGUCAAUGAGGCAAAUCAGCCACCUAGUAACAAUGUGGUUGAUGGAGAAAAUUAUCCUGAUAUUGACAAUGCCCACGAUAUAAGAAAUGCUGUGUCGUUACUUUGCUAAUCAAAAUUAACCUUACCUUGAUGAAGUAUUCCAUGUUUUGUAAGUAGUUUAUUACAGUAUAGUUUCAGACAUGUUUUUGAAAUUACUGGUGUGGUGUGUAGUUUGAAAAACGUAAUAAAGAAAACAGAAACAAUUUUUGUAUUCAGAAUGAUAUGUAUUGUAAAUUUCUAAAACGUGAGUUAUAUAUUGCACAAUUACUGAUAUGGUCCAUAGUUUGAAAAGUUAGGGAAAGAAGUAGAAGGCGAUGGAGGGUUCAGGGCCUGUAGUUGUGCUGGUUGCUGUGGCAGCCGCUGG